This 365-nucleotide ribosomal RNA is filed under the name Caraboctonus keyserlingi. RNAcentral describes it as "partial 16S ribosomal RNA". Lineage: Eukaryota; Metazoa; Arthropoda; Arachnida; Scorpiones; Caraboctonidae. The record is from RNAcentral.
CAUAAUCAUUAGUCUUCUAAUUUAGGACUGGAAUGAAUGGUUAGACUGAGUAAAAUUGUCUUAUUAUAAUAUUUUGAAUUUUAUCUUCUAGUAAAAAAGCUAGAAUAAAUUUAAAAGACGAGAAGACCCUAUCAAGCUUUACAAUUAAUAUUUAUUGUCAAUUUAAGUAAAAGAUUGUUUAACUGGGGCAGUAAACAAAAAGUUUUUGUUUAAUUAUUUUGAAAUAUUAUUCUUGAAAUAUCAGAAAUUUUCUAAGAAAGAAUAAGUUACUGUAGGGAUAACAGCAUAAUUUUUUUAAAGAGUUCUUAUCAUCAAAAAAGUUUGUGACCUCGAUGUUGGAUUAAGAGUCCUAUUUCACGCAAUAG